CCUACGGGGGGCAGCAGUGAGGAAUAUUGGUCAAUGGGCGAGAGCCUGAACCAGCCAAGUAGCGUGAAGGAUGACUGCCCUACGGGUUGUAAACUUCUUUUAUAAAGGAAUAAAGUGAGGCACGUGUACCGUCUUGUAUGUACUAUAUGAAUAAGGAUCGGCUAACUCCGGGCCAGCAGCCGCGGUAAUACGGAGGAUCCGAGCGUUAUCCGGAUUUAUUGGGUUUAAAGGGAGCGUAGGUGGGAGGUUAAGUCAGUUGUGAAAGUUUGCGGCUCAACCGUAAGAUUGCAGUUGAUACUGGGUGCCUUGAGUGCAGUAGAGGUAGGCGGAAUUCGUGGUGUAGCGGUGAAAUGCUUAGAUAUCACGAAGAACUCCGAUUGCGAAGGCAGCUUACUGGACUGCAACUGACGUUGAUGCUCGAAAGUGUGGGUAUCAAACAGGAUUAGAUACCCGGGUAGUC
Molecule: ribosomal RNA, 460 nt
Filed under: uncultured bacterium
Lineage: Bacteria
Description: partial 16S ribosomal RNA
Rfam family: Bacterial small subunit ribosomal RNA
Source: RNAcentral